This 89-nucleotide transfer RNA is filed under the name Sinosporangium siamense. RNAcentral describes it as "tRNA-Gly". The record is from RNAcentral. Lineage: Bacteria; Bacillati; Actinomycetota; Actinomycetes; Streptosporangiales; Streptosporangiaceae.
CGAUGCCGAGGCACUGGCGUACGGUGCUGCGGCUGCCGUCCGCGCCGAUCAGCCAGUCGGCCCUGAAGGUCACCUCCUCGCCGUCGGCC